AGAAGAACCUCUGGGUCCAGGGGUAGACGAUCAGCAGCCUGGGGAGAGACGGAGGGACACAAACAGACAUAGAGACACAGAUGUUCAGGGAGAGGUUUCCCCGUGCAGGCUGUUCCUGGAAAAACUUUGCUGGAAUGGAGAUGCCUACAUAGAAACUUUCAAUUCCACUGAAAAGAUGUGCUUCCAUUAAGCCAAAAUGAGUAAAAAAAGGCUCUAGCCCAUCCUGUCUGAAAGCUGCCCUCAUCCCCUGCUCUUGGGAUCUUACACAUUCCAGAUAUCAAACUCUGAUCAGGACGCACCAGUUUCCAUCACUGAUGCAGAAACUACUUUUGAUCAAUUUAAUACAUCAGUAGCAAACUAUGGAGAGGGAGACAGCCCAGCAGUCGAGUCCCCAUGAGAGGGUUCUCUCCUGCAUGGUGUCUGCAGAGCAACUUCACCUGAAGGCUUCUGCAGAGGAACCUCAGUGAAGCCUGUCAGACACAGGAUCCACCUGCCUUGGGGAGGGCCAGGGGGAUAAAUAUCACCUCCUCCCUGGCCCAGGAAUCACAGAAUCAUUAAAGUUGCAAAAGACCUCCAAGAUGGAGAGAAACUA
Parus major (Great Tit) is the source of this 592-nucleotide long non-coding RNA. RefSeq lists it as uncharacterized. NCBI's taxonomy places the organism in Eukaryota, Metazoa, Chordata, Aves, Passeriformes, Paridae. The transcript is spliced from 3 exons. The record is from RefSeq and is a predicted model, not a curated record.